This 440-nucleotide ribosomal RNA is filed under the name uncultured bacterium. RNAcentral's name for it is "partial 16S ribosomal RNA". It matches the Rfam family "Bacterial small subunit ribosomal RNA", at positions 338 to 795 of the family's 1533-position model. The record is from RNAcentral.
CCUACGGGCGACUGCAGUGGGGAAUAUUGCACAAUGGGGGGAACCCUGAUCCAGCGACGCCGCGUGGGUGAAGGAGCGUUUCGGCACGUAAAGCCCUAUCGGCAGGGAAGAAAAUGACGGUACCUGACCAAGAAGCCCCGGCUAACUACGUGCCAGCAGCCGCGGUAAUACGUAGGGGGCAAGCGUUAUCCGGAUUUACUGGGUGUAAAGGGGGCGUAGACGGUAAUGCAAGUCUGGAGUUAAAGUCCGGGGCCCAACCCCGGGACUGCUGUUGAAACUGGAUGGCUGGAGUACAGGAGGGGUAAGCGGAAUUGCUAGUGUAGCGGUGAAAUGCGUAGAUAUUAGGAGGAACACCGGUGGCGAAGGCGGCCUGCUGGACUGUAACUGACGUUGAGGCACGAAGGCGUGGGGAGCAAACAGGAUUAGAUACCCGUGUAGUC